RNAcentral lists this ribosomal RNA (254 nucleotides) under uncultured bacterium. RNAcentral describes it as "partial 16S ribosomal RNA". It matches the Rfam family "Bacterial small subunit ribosomal RNA", at positions 793 to 1055 of the family's 1533-position model. The record is from RNAcentral.
GUCCACGCCGUAAACGAUGGAUACUAGCUGUUGGGAGCGAUCUCAGUGGCUAAGCGAAAGUGAUAAGUAUCCCACCUGGGGAGUACGUUCGCAAGAAUGAAACUCAAAGGAAUUGACGGGGCCCGCACAAGCGGUGGAGCAUGUGGUUUAAUUCGAUGAUACGCGAGGAACAUUACCAAGGCUUAAAUGUAGAUUGACCGGUUUGGAAACAGACUUUUCGCAAGACAAUUUACAAGGUGCUGCAUGGUUGUCGU